This is a long non-coding RNA of Neopsephotus bourkii (Bourke's parrot), 2625 nucleotides long. RefSeq lists it as uncharacterized. NCBI's taxonomy places the organism in Eukaryota, Metazoa, Chordata, Aves, Psittaciformes, Psittacidae. The record is from RefSeq and is a predicted model, not a curated record. The transcript is spliced from 3 exons.
CUGCGCCUUUCAUCCGUCCGUCUGCUCCAGCCUAGGGACGUCUGCGCUGGGAGCCCAGCUGCAUCAAGCCCUUCCUUGAAAAGUGAGGUCUUUUCGUGGACAACUGGCUCCAGAGCACUGCAAAAAGGAAGACUGAAGUUAGUCAUGGCAGGACGGGGGAGAUGCUCUGCCCAGCUGCCUUGGCUGAGGUGCAGCUUUUAGCUGAAAAACGCUGGCACGGGGCACUUGACUUUUUAAUGCCAAAGCAUACAAGUUAUCCUGCAAAGCCAUAGGAAGCUUUGGCUUUCACAUAAUUAUUCAAGCUUUCACAUAAUUAUUCAAGCAGAUUUUAGGCCACUGAGUACCAUGUGAUAGUUACCUGCAAUUUCUUGACCUUAUGAUUUUCUUCUGCUUAUGUAGCAAUUUAAGACACUGACAAAGCAUCCAAGUAGAUCCAGCCAAGUCAAUACAUGAAAAGCUCAAAUGUUCAAGCCAAUUUCUGUAUCCUUUCCUGAAAGUAUGUUUAUUUGCCUGACUAGUGGAAGUUUAAGGCAGUAAAACACUUGGGCAAAAUCCAUAAAAAUACUGAGGUGCCCAAGUUCCACUUUAAACUGAUCUUAGAUGUACAACAGCACUUGCCCUCUAAAAAGAAUCCACACUUCAUACCUAAUUUCAUCUCUUGAAUGACUGAAGUCCUACUGUUGUGCAAGUCCUCUAUUUUGGCUGACUCAAUCCAAUCCAGUUGACUCACUGUGGUUGGGCUAAAUACACAAUGGCAAUAUUGAAUGAACCCAUAAAACAAAUCACCCACCACCAUAUGACCUUUUAGGUUUCUUUGGUUUUCUGAGUCAUGGAAAAACUGCAAUAGAACAUCAGAGCUCUUCCAAGUAUCAUCCCACAGGCCAGAGUGGCUCACCAGCAGUACUGCCAGAUGUGUGCAUACCAUAGACGACAGUUUGUAGGAGAUGCCAAAAAAAAAAAAACACCGAGAAGGAGCCAGUGGAUGCCUCAGAUGGAGUGUGGUAUGACUGCAUUAGGAAGUGGUGAGGAAGAGCUCUGCAAGACUUCCUGUCUCUCAGUUCUAGGACAAGUGAGGUCAAGCAGGUAGAAGAUGCCAUGUGUCCAACUUUGGUUUACAGGGUGUGGCUGUAUCCGCUGACCAAUUACAUUUCACCAGUUUCACCUAAUGAAGGGAAGCCUGACAUCCCUAUAUGGCUGUGGUACUCCUGGAAUGCAGAGGCUGUCUCCACAUCCUUUGACACAAAUCUUUAGGCCAAUAUUUUUCUUUCAGGUUAUUUCAGAGAAGAUAAAAUUUUCAGCUCCCCCUCUCAAGCCAAACCUGUGACAAACUAUACAUUCAAGCAAGGAAAAGAAGUCUUAGAAAAAAUGCAGGUACUAUAUUAGUUGUAACAGCAGGACAAAGGGAACCAAGAAAUGCUCCCUCUUCUCAUUCACAGAUAUAUUCUUUCUCUGGAAGAAGUUGGCUAAACAACCUAAUCCACCAUUCUUCCUUCCCCUUUAACGAGAGAUGAUAGGAACAAGAAAGAUUUGAAAGAAGAAAAAUUUGUCCAAAACCAGCAGAUUUAGAUAUUCACUCUCUUCAUUCAAAACAAUUUAAUACCACAGUCCCCACUCCCAGAAAAUACCCUGACUACCUGAUAAUUGAGGAAGAAGUGGCAGGAAUGUCCUCCAUCUAUGCCACUAAAAAAAAGAAAGUGUGAAAAAAAAAAAAAACAAGAUAUCUGAAACAGAAGAAGUUAAGUGAGGUGGAAGGUGCCAAAAAAUAUGGACUAAUCCCGUAACUUUAUCACGGAAGUUUCAGUUGUGCCAUAUUCAACCACCAGAAUGCUUUCUAAGCACAUUUAUGCUGAAAAUAAAAUAUCAUAUAUAACACGUAUACCACAGUAUUCUUCAAGAUCACUUAUUAAUCUCUUAGAUUUUCAAAUUAUAUUUUCAGUCAAUUAUAUUGUAAUAAAUAACACCAUUUCACCUUUCCUCUGCAACAUGAAUUUGGGAACUGUGCUGUGAAAUGCAACACUGAUUUGGUAUGCAUUACAAUGCUGUACCUAGCCACCAGCAAAGAAAGAACUUUGGAAGGGAAAACAGACUCCCUCUGUUCUACUGCCUCAUUCAAGCUUUCCAGUCAAGGGAAGCCUAGAUGUUCAGGAGGCAUGCAUAUACUAUGAGAUUGCUGGUGUCUAGACAACAUGGAGAUGAGGAAGUAGCAGACAAUCUACAUGAGUAUUCCCAUGAUUUCUUCCAACAGUAGAACUAUGUAACACUCUUAAGAAGGCAGGAAUUCAGCAAUUUCUUGGGGAGAUUAAAUUUACUGCAGCUUUGAAAUAACAGGUUUACUGCACAUUCUGAACGGUUGAGUGUCUCUGCAGGACUGGAUAACAGCUAGCACAAGGGUCUCGGGGGAUUUUAUUGUAGUUAACCCAUCCUCCUGUUCUGUUCCUACUUUGCAUGCAGAAGAGAAUGUUUGUGCUUACUACAAUAUUUAUAGCUUCUUAGGACAGGAAGGCUAGCACAGGACCUUAUCAUGUAAAUUAGAAGCUGGAAGGAGCCUCAUUGCUGUUAUUCUGAGUCCUCAGCCUCAAAAAGAUUUGUUUAACCAACAAAUGACUGUGCAAAGGAAGACCCACA